GCUGUAUUAUCCUAAACCUACAAAAUAGCCAGUUAUUUUACCAGCAAAAUGGGUUUAUUUGGGAGCAGCAAGGAAUUGCAACUCAGGACAUGCAACUAUGGUGAACUACUUGCUAAUCCUGGGAAAGUAAGGGAGAGGAAACUCUUUGAUCGAGGGGAAGGGGGAGCUGGGAGGGGCUGUUAUAAACAAAAAAGUCCAUUAGAAGAAACUGCAAAUGCCUGUAGUAUAGUGGCUUUUCAUUGGCUGUCUUGUGACCGUCUCUCAUUGGCUGAGCUGUUGCCAGGCAAGGAGAAAAUCUUUGUUCCUCCUGCUAGUUAGUGAGCUUGUGUCACUUCUUGCCAGAGAUGCAAGGUACCUCUCUUCCCCUUCGGGAUCUGUACGGACAUCUAAAAGUACACGCCUGACGGCGCUCCCGCCGGCCUCCCAUCUGCAUUUUAGUGAGGUUUCCCUUUAUGAAUCUUCACAGCUGCUUGGGAAGAACCAGCAAACAGGGAGACCACGGCCCAGGCCGCAGCCCCCUUGGGACAGCAGCGCUGAGGGCGCUCGAGGGCAGCUCCAGCCUGGGCCCUUCCAGAAGGAUCCUCCCCAUCUCCGUCUACAUCUACGCCCAGGGAGGUCAAAGGCAUCAGGAGAGGUGCAUGGGCCAAGGAGCCCCAGGACCACAGGUACGCUGCUGGCCCCGCCCAGGUCCGGGCUCCCCAAGGCCUCACUGUGACCUCACUCACUCACGGGGGAAGAGGUCAGAGCCAGGGAGUCCCCUCCAAGUUCCCCUCGAGCCACCCAGGCCGAAUCCAGGGGCUGCCCAGAGGAGGGGUUGGCAGCAGGUCCAGAAACUGAGAUGACGGAGGCCAGGAUUCCAGGAAGGGGACACAUGAGGACAGGCUUCCUGGUUUCCAGCGGGGAGAGGCCAUGAGGCCAUCCCCCUCAGCAGGUGGGGCUUGGGGUGGGGGGGCACCGUGACCCUUCACUUCCCUGCUGGCCCACCCUCUGUCCGGCAGACACACGUCUCUUUUCCUUGACCACGGGCGGGGGCUGCCCCCUGGACUGGGCCCCGUUCCUUGAUCCUGUGUGGGAGGCUCUGGUGAGAAAGAGAGCUGGUAACGGGGGGUGGGGGUGAGGGGACACAUCAGAGAUUGGGGGCGCGGCGCGGGGACUCCAACUUGCAGAGGGAGGGGUGGACACUCAACAAAGACCUGGGUCCUGUUGUUUUAAAUAAGAAAUUUAUUGCAAAUAUAGAAAUUGAUUCUCUCCAUACAGGAAUCUCCAAGUUGAGGAAAACAAUUUCGUGCCAUUCAGUUUAAAAUAGGAAAUUGGGAGGGAGAGGCAGAUACAGGGAAGAGAAAAUAAAUGAAGUCACCCCCCCCA
This 1365-nucleotide long non-coding RNA is filed under the name Sus scrofa (pig). RNAcentral's name for it is "lncRNA (ENSSSCG00070018236.1)". Lineage: Eukaryota; Metazoa; Chordata; Mammalia; Artiodactyla; Suidae. The record is from RNAcentral.